This 98-nucleotide microRNA precursor is filed under the name Mus caroli (Ryukyu mouse). Its description in RNAcentral is "miRNA (MGP_CAROLIEiJ_G0007503.1)". The record is from RNAcentral. Lineage: Eukaryota; Metazoa; Chordata; Mammalia; Rodentia; Muridae.
UUUGCAUUUUGUCAUAUUUGAUGAAAGGUGUCUCUGUGUAUCCCUGGCUAUCCUGGACUCUGUAGACUGGGCUGGCCUCAAACUCAGAGAACAGUCUG